GACGAACGCUGGCGGCGUGCCUAAUACAUGCAAGUCGAACGCUUCUUUCCUCCCGAGUGCUUGCACUCGAGUGGAAAGAGGAGUGGCGGACGGGGGAGUAACACGUGGGUAACCUACCCAUCAGAGGGGGAUGACACUUGGAAACAGGUGCUAAUACCGCAUAACAGUUUAUGCCGCAUGGCAUAAGAGUGAAAGGCGCUUUCGGGUGUCGCUGAUGGAUGGACCCGCGGUGCAUUAGCUAGUUGGUGAGGUAACGGCGCACCAAGGCCACGAUGCAUAGCCGACCUGAGAGGGUGAUCGGCCACACUGGGACUGAGACACGGCCCAGGCUCCUACGGGAGGCCGCAGUAGGGAAUCUUCGGCAAUGGACGAAAGUCUGACCGAGCAGCGCCGCGUGAGUGACGAAGGUCUUCGGAUCGUAAAACUCUGUUGUUAGUGAAGAACAAGGACGUUAGUAACUGAACGUCCCCUGACGGUAUCUAACCAGAAAGCCACGGCUAACUACGUG
Molecule: ribosomal RNA, 508 nt
Filed under: uncultured bacterium
Lineage: Bacteria
Description: partial 16S ribosomal RNA
Rfam family: Bacterial small subunit ribosomal RNA
Source: RNAcentral